Long non-coding RNA from Oncorhynchus kisutch (coho salmon), 583 nucleotides. RefSeq lists it as uncharacterized. The transcript is spliced from 2 exons. The record is from RefSeq and is a predicted model, not a curated record. NCBI's taxonomy places the organism in Eukaryota, Metazoa, Chordata, Actinopteri, Salmoniformes, Salmonidae.
AGGGAGAGGGAAAGCGAGAGAAGGAAAGUGAGAGGGCAGGAGGGAAGAGAGAGAGAGCGAGAGAAGGAAGCGAGAGGGAGGGAGAGGGCAGAGUGGACUUAUGGCUCUGGCAAAUUUGGGGCCUUUUUUCAGAGCCGUUCAGAGAGUCAAAUUAUUGGACUGACAGCCCAUCCCUUUGGUGAAGGUGAAAAUAAGAAAAUGAAAAGGGCCAUGUGGUGAGAGAGGGAUGCAGCUUGAACCCCAACAUCUUCAACAUACUGUCACGAAUCCCGCCGAAGAUGGUGCCUCUUCCUGUUCGGGUGGCGCUCGGCGGUCGUCGUCGCCGGCCUACUAGCUGCCACCGAUCCCCUUUUCUGUUUCAUUUAGUUGUGUCUGAUUAGUUGCACCUGUUUUGUGUUUAGGUUGUGAUUGUGGGCUAUUUAAACCCAGUAAGCCCGUGGGCUUGUUUCUCUGUUGUUUUGUGGAUGUGAUAUUUUCUGUAUUUCUCCGGACUGUUUGUGUCCUGUUGUUGGGCCGGUCAUUGUAUGCGCCUGGUGUUUUGGCGUGACCUACUUUUCUCCGGAAUAAAUACAGUUAUCCUUUA